Molecule: ribosomal RNA, 495 nt
Filed under: uncultured bacterium
Lineage: Bacteria
Description: partial 16S ribosomal RNA
Rfam family: Bacterial small subunit ribosomal RNA
Source: RNAcentral
GACGAACGCUGGCGGCGUGCCUAAUACAUGCAAGUAGAACGCUGAAGGAGGAGCUUGCUUCUCUGGAUGAGUUGCGAACGGGUGAGUAACGAGUAGGUAACCUGCCUGGUAGCGGGGGAUAACUAUUGGAAACGAUAGCUAAUAACGCAUAAGAAUAGAUGUUGCAUGACAUUUACUUAAAAGGUGCAAUUGCAUCAAUACCAGAUGGACCUGCGUUGUAUUAGCUAGUUGGUGGGGUAACGGCUCACCAAGGCGAUGAUACAUAGCCGACCUGAGAGGGUGAUCGGCCACACUGGGACUGAGACACGGCCCAGACUCCUACGGGAGGCAGCAGUAGGGAAUCUUCCGCAAUGGACGGAAGUCUGACCGAGCAACGCCGCGUGAGUGAAGACGGUCUUCGGGUCGUAAAGCUCUGUUGUUCGAGAAGAACGAGUGUGAGAGUGAAAAGUUCACACUGUGACGGUAUCUUACUAGAAAGGCACGGCUAACUACGUG